This is a small nucleolar RNA of Hibiscus syriacus, 107 nucleotides long. NCBI's taxonomy places the organism in Eukaryota, Viridiplantae, Streptophyta, Magnoliopsida, Malvales, Malvaceae. The record is from RefSeq and is a predicted model, not a curated record.
AAACCAUGCAUCAUACAUUUUUACAGCAAGUUCGUAAACCUCUCCUUUGCUUCAUAAAAGUUUUCAUUUUUCAUUUGCUUGAAAGAUGCGAUGUCAUUUCUCAGCCU